CCUACGGGUGACAGCAGUGAGGAAUAUUGGUCAAUGGGCGCGAGCCUGAACCAGCCAAGUAGCGUGAAGGAUGACUGCCCUACGGGUUGUAAACUUCUUUUAUAAAGGAAUAAAGUGAGGCACGUGUGCCUUUUUGUAUGUAUUUUAUGAAUAAGGAUCGGCUAACUCCGUGCCAGCAGCCGCGGUAAUACGGAGGAUCCGAGCGUUAUCCGGAUUUAUUGGGUUUAAAGGGAGCGUAGAUGGGUUGUUAAGUCAGUUGUGAAAGUUUGCGGCUCAACCGUAAAAUUGCAAUUGAUACUGGCAGCCUUGAGUACAGUAGAGGUAGGCGGAAUUCGUGGUGUAGCGGUGAAAUGCUUAGAUAUCACGAAGAACCCCGAUUGCGAAGGCAGCUUACUAAACUGUGACUGACAUUGAUGCUCGAAAGUGUGGGUAUCAAACAGGAUUAGAUACCCCAGUAGUC
This 460-nucleotide ribosomal RNA is filed under the name uncultured bacterium. RNAcentral describes it as "partial 16S ribosomal RNA". It matches the Rfam family "Bacterial small subunit ribosomal RNA", at positions 338 to 795 of the family's 1533-position model. The record is from RNAcentral.